Long non-coding RNA from Salvia splendens (bonfire salvia), 1454 nucleotides. RefSeq lists it as uncharacterized. The record is from RefSeq and is a predicted model, not a curated record. The transcript is spliced from 7 exons. NCBI's taxonomy places the organism in Eukaryota, Viridiplantae, Streptophyta, Magnoliopsida, Lamiales, Lamiaceae.
CUCUUUUCAUCUUCACUUAACCCUAGUUUUCACUUUUAACUAAUUCCCAACCCCACCGUCUCCGCCCGAAAAUUCCCUCAGCUCCCAUGAUCGCCCGCCCCAAUCUCACGAUACCACCGUCUGGAUCCCACUCCGCUCGUCAAAGUCUCCCCGCCGUCGUACUGUUUCUCCCCGUCAUCGUCGACGUAUCGAGAUCCCCGACCUCGCCGCGUCCUAUACCAGCGCCGACCGGUACUUGCAUCUCCGCCUUCGCGACCGGCCCACAGUCCUCGCCUCCUUCGAUCGCCGCUUCCAGCGUCGUGUUCGAAUUCCUGGUGUAACCUAUUGCCGGAUCCACGACGGAGCUCCUCUACGAGCUGCGGAGAGGCGAUGUUGUCGAAUUGAGCCUGGCGGUUGGUGGCGGUUUCAAUUUUAGAGGAAAUUGAGAUUUCAAAGGAAAUUUCAGGAUCUGAAAAUUCUGAAGAAUCGGUUGUAUUCAGCAGCUGAAGUGAGAAAUGAUUAUCGCAAAGCUAUAGCAUAAAUACAAGAAUUUCAUCGUGCAUAGUAUGGAACCAGGAGCUCCGUCUCCUGUACCUUGAAUAUUUGGCUGCCGUUUCUUCUCCAAUAUGUGGCUCCACCACCGAUUUAAUGGUACAUCUCAUGUUAGAGGCAUAAUGUACCCAAGUUAUAAUGAUUGUGUGAUAAGAGUUUCCAGCAUAUAGUGUAGCUUUAUGAACACAUCAUGCACUUAUUGAUAUAUUUCCAUUGUUUCUAACUUUUUCUUUAGAAGGACUUUUUUUUUACAUUAUUGACAAGUUCAAGUUGUUCAAGCGGCGCCAUGUUUCUGCAUAUACUUGUUUUUGUAUUCAGAUCCCUAAAUGCAGAUAUUUGGUUCAGCUUGUAUGGGCCAUUAGGCUAUUAAAUCCACAUAUUCCUGGAAAAAAAAUUCUAAGGGAAGAACACAAAAACUGUAGCUAAGAAGGGAGACCUUGGAUGCAUAAAAAAUCUAAAAUGAAGAAGGAAUAUCCAACUGUCUUGUAUGCAUCAUGAACAAUUUGUACGUAAUGAAGGUUGAUUUGUUUGUCAUGAAUUUGGCAAAUCCAGAGAGAUUUAGAUUUGCAAGGGAAACAUCAUUUGAGUAAAGGCACUUGAGCUACUGGACCAAAAAGCCACUUUUGUGGAAGGCUCUGGACAUGUGUGCCCCCCUCUCAUGGUACGGAAUGUAAUUUCUCGAACUAAAUAUUAGUUACAAUGCCUAUAUGAAAAUGAUAGUAAAAUAGAUGGAGACUUAGCUUGUGAGAUUUCAGCUUGUUUUAUUGGAUGUGGUAUUAGGAUUUCAGCUUGCAGUUCUAUGUUUUUCAGUCCAUUCAGUUAUAUAAUUGUCCACGGUCGAAGAUGUCUUUGAAAACAAUGUCUGUAUUUGGAUUUGUUUAUUAUGAGUUCAAUCUAUAUGAAUGUUGCAUUGUCGUGUGUUA